AUUGAACGCUGGCGGCAGGCCUAACACAUGCAAGUCGAGCGGAUGAAGGGAGCUUGCUCCUGGUUUCAGAGGCGGACGGGUGUGUAAUGCCCAGGAAUCUGCCUGGUAGUGGGGGAUAACGUCUGGAAACGGGCGUUACUACUGCAUCCGUCCUGCGGGUGCAAGUGGGGGAUCUUCGGAACUCACGCUCUCAGAUGCGCCUAGGUCGGAUUAGCUAGUUGGUGGGGUAAAGGCCUACCACGGCGAAGAUCCGCAACUGGUCUGAGCGGAGGAUCAGUCACACUGGAACGGGGACACGGUCCAGACUCCUACGGGAGGCAGCAGUGGGGAAUAUUGGACAAUGGGCGAAAGCCUGAUCCAGCCAGGCCGCGUGUGUGAAGAAGGUCUUCGGAUUUUAAAGCACGUUAAGUUGGGAGAAAGGGCAGUAAGUUAAUACCUUGCUGUUGUGACGUUACCAACAGAAUAAGCACCGGCUAACUUCGUG
Molecule: ribosomal RNA, 484 nt
Filed under: uncultured bacterium
Lineage: Bacteria
Description: partial 16S ribosomal RNA
Rfam family: Bacterial small subunit ribosomal RNA
Source: RNAcentral